Molecule: non-coding RNA, 72 nt
Organism: Chytridium lagenaria
Lineage: Eukaryota; Fungi; Chytridiomycota; Chytridiomycetes; Chytridiales; Chytridiaceae
Source: the annotation of a GenBank genome assembly
GGAGCUGUGGCGUAAUGGUAGCGCAUGUGAUUCCAGUCCACAAGGUUGUCGGUUCAAAUCCGGUCAGCUUCA